AUGAGAACACUUGCCAACGCUCGUCGGGAAGCCUGGCUCCAUUUAUUGAGAAGACUGAUGGAUGUGCAGCUUUCUCAACAGUCAGACGUUAAAGCUAUGGCUGGAGUGAGCAUGGAUAGCUUGGCACAGCCUCAAGCCCCGGUUGCAGUGGUUACCGGAGCAUCGAGGGGGAUUGGGCGAGCCAUAGCUGUGGCUCUUGGCAAAGCAGGGUGCAAGGUAGUUGUGAACUAUGCCAAGUCAGGCAUGGAAGCUGAAGAAGUGCGCAUAGAGAUCGAGGAGUCCGGUGGCACUGCCAUCACCUUUUCAGCCGAUGUCUCCAUUGAAGCCGAGGUUGAAACCAUGAUGAGAGCGGCUGCGACGACAGUGAUGAUGAAGAGGAAGAAGGUACAGAGAAGAAUCAUCAACAUCGCCUCAGUUGCCGGGAUGACCGGCAACAUUGGCCAGGCCAACUACUGCGCCGCCAAGGCCGGGGUGAUUGGAUUGACCAAGGCCAUGGCCCGGAAAUACGGUGGCAGAAACAUAAAUGUGAAUGCUGUUUCCCCGGGCUGGGUCGCGUCUCACAUGACCGCAAAACUAGGCGACCACAUCGAGCGAAAGGCGCUCGAGACAAAUACCAUUAGAAGAUGGACUAUUGCAAUGGCAUUCGGCAAGCCAGAGGAGAUCGCUCGACUGGUGGAGUUCUUGGCUGUUCAUCCGGCUGCGAGUAAAUUGAAACCUAUUCUCCACGCCAAAUCAUUUACUAACGACAAAGGACUGAAAGAUAUAAAAGGACUGAACCUGUUAUAG
This 786-nucleotide ribosomal RNA is filed under the name Triticum aestivum (bread wheat). RNAcentral describes it as "partial small subunit ribosomal RNA". The record is from RNAcentral. Lineage: Eukaryota; Viridiplantae; Streptophyta; Magnoliopsida; Poales; Poaceae.